Molecule: ribosomal RNA, 479 nt
Filed under: uncultured bacterium
Lineage: Bacteria
Description: partial 16S ribosomal RNA
Rfam family: Bacterial small subunit ribosomal RNA
Source: RNAcentral
UGGGGAAUCUUCCGCAAUGGACGAAAGUCUGACGGAGCAACGCCGCGUGUAUGACGAAGGCCUUCGGGUUGUAAAGUACUGUCUUUAGGGACGAACGGUAUCUAUGUAAAUAAUGCAGAUACAUGACGGUACCCAAGGAGGAAGCCCCGGCUAACUACGUGCCAGCAGCCGCAGUAAUACGUAGGGGGCGAGCGUUGUCCGGAAUCAUUGGGCGUAAAGGGCGCGUAGGCGGGUCAUUAAGUCUGGUGUGAAAGGCAGGGGCUCAACCCCUGGAAGGCACCGGAACUGGUUAUCUUGAGGACAGGAGAGGAAAGCGGAAUUCCACGUGUAGCGGUGAAAUGCGUAGAUAUGUGGAGGAACACCAGUGGCGAAGGCGGCUUUCUGGACUGUAACUGACGCUGAGGCGCGAAAGCGUGGGGAGCAAACAGGAUUAGAUACCCUGGUAGUCCACGCCGUAAACGAUGAGUGCUAGGUGUAGA